GAUGAACGCUGACAGAAUGCUUAACACAUGCAAGUCGAUGGGGAAGUGGUGCUUGCACCAUGGCAAUCAUGGCGGACGGGUGAGUAACGCGUAAGGGACUUACCUGCAGGACUGGGAUAACAGGGGGAAACUCCUGACAAGACCGGAUAAUGUCAUGGAGCUGCAUGGCUUUAUGAUGAAAGGAGACGCCUGCGGAGAGCCUUGCGUCCUAUUAGCUAGUUGGUGAGGUAAUGGCUCACCAAGGCGAAGAUAGGUAGCCGGCCUGAGAGGAUGGACGGCCACAAGGGGAAUGAGAUACGGCCGUUACUCCUACGGGAGGAAGCAGUGGGGAAUAUUGGACAAUGGGGGCAACCCUGAUCAAGAAAUUCUGUGUGCACGAAGAAGGUUUUCGGAUUGUAAAGUGCUUUCAGCAGGGAAGAAGUAAGUGACGGUACCUGCAGAAGAAGCGACGGCUAAAUACGUG
Molecule: ribosomal RNA, 463 nt
Filed under: uncultured bacterium
Lineage: Bacteria
Description: partial 16S ribosomal RNA
Rfam family: Bacterial small subunit ribosomal RNA
Source: RNAcentral